UGGCCGAGCGGUUAAGGCGAGAGAUUAGAAAUCUCUUGGGGUUUCCCGCGUAGGUUCGAAUCCUGC
This 66-nucleotide transfer RNA is filed under the name Yarrowia lipolytica. Its description in RNAcentral is "partial transfer RNA". It matches the Rfam family "tRNA", at positions 8 to 63 of the family's 71-position model. From Rfam's summary of the family: Transfer RNA (tRNA) molecules are approximately 80 nucleotides in length. Their secondary structure includes four short double-helical elements and three loops (D, anti-codon, and T loops). Lineage: Eukaryota; Fungi; Ascomycota; Dipodascomycetes; Dipodascales. The record is from RNAcentral.